Long non-coding RNA from Bos taurus (domestic cattle), 2819 nucleotides. The record is from Ensembl. Lineage: Eukaryota; Metazoa; Chordata; Mammalia; Artiodactyla; Bovidae.
CGGUUCUGAAAAUGCAGAGGAGGGCCGGGAAGGGGCAGGACGAUGGGCAAGGAACUACAGGUCACGGCUCCCGAUGCGCGUCAUACUUCCGGGUGCAUUCAGAGGCGCAGCGACUCCCGGCCUGCUCCCUCGGACCUUGCCUCCCUUUUCCGAUACUCCAGACGCCCUAGUCUAGACAGUUUCAGUCUACUAUCCCUGAAACACGUGGAGCUGAGACUUGGUCAAGGUGCAUUCCUGCCCGCUUCCUCCGCCCUUGGUUCCCUCCUCCUAGAACAUUUGCAACUGGAUCUCCACGAGUGCUGGUCAUCAUCGGAAACCGUCUCAUCUGCAUAUGGACUAUUUGAGAGCCCUCAGAAGCAAGAGCUCACCUGUCUCGUCCAUACCAAAUCCUCAGCAUCUGCACUCCCGAGAAAGUGAAAGUGAAGUCGCUCAGUCGUGUCGGACUCUUUGCGACCCCAUGGACACCAGGCUCCUCCUUCCAUGGGAUUUUCUAGGCAAGAGUACUGGAGUGGGUUGCCUUUUCCUUCUCCAGGGAACUUCCCGACCCUGGGAUCGAACCCAGGUCUCAGGCAUAGACAGACACUUUACCGUCUGAGCCACCAGGGAAGUCUCUGCACUCCCGAGAAAUACUUGUUAAAUGAAUGAAUGAUUGAAGUCCUUCAUGGUGUCUUCCUAACUGAAAGGAGAGCUUCAUCCUGGGUGAUCCAUGGCAGUUUAUUUACUGCUGUAUGCAGGGCUUUUCCUGGUUGUGGUGGGUCCAUGCAUUGGUGGUCUCCACUGACUUUCAGCCCUCUUCCUCGCAUGUAAAUUCCCGGAUUGGACACAUAACUAACAUGCUUUGGCCAAUGGGAUGGUAGCAGGUGUGCUGGGCACAGAGCCUUGAUAAAUAUUUGAAUGCUGGGGUCUGUCCUCUUGGGACAUUGUCUCUUGAAGUCCUGAGUUACUCUGUAAAGAGGUCUAGCUGCUGUGCUGACAUGGGGCACAAGUGUUCCAGUCAUCCCCUCGUUCCAGCCACCUCAGCUGAAGCCCCAGAAGUCUGAGUGAAGAUGCUCUUUGGAACCUUCCACCCCAGGAGACACCUGGCAGGGUGGAAGAACCACCCAGCUGAGCCCAGCCCAGAGCGCAGAGCCAGGGGAAGUAUGCAGUCACGUUUUAAACAAGCUUGACAUGCUGACUUCAGCAAGAAGUAGCUGAAAUACCAGUUUACUUUCCAUUUUGAAUGGCUGUGCGAGUCCACAACUCAGAAACCGAGGUGGCAAAGGCUGCAACACGGUUAGCUUUGCUUUUGCACUUUGCCCCGCAUCCCACACAAGUCAGUCAAUAGUUCGUUGAGCAGUUUAUUGAACUCUCCAUGCUAAUCUCUGUGCUACUUAAGUGUGUGAUGCAGAGGGUGCUGGUCGUUUUCUCCACAAUCUUUAAGGUCAUGCCAGAGGUGUCAGUGGGUCCAUGCCACGCCUUGUUCCCGACCACACAGCUUGUGCAAGGCUGUGGCAGCUGGGCCUGCAGGGGUGAGCCUCCUGCAGACACUGCAGCCAGGUUACCGCCCUCUCCCUAGGCCUUCCCUCCUGGACCGUUCCCCCCACCACCCCCGCCCAUACCAGCUACUCUCCUAGAGAGAGAGAGAGAGAGAGAACAGGGUAGGUCUGCCUAACCUUGACCUUCAUUCAUGUCUUAAAAGAGGAGACAAACCCUACUCUAUACUGCCUUAAAACCUACAUUUAAGUAGAAAGCCUUAUUUUUUCCCCUUAUUUUUCCCUCUUGGACGGAAUUAAGUAAAUCCAAAGUGACAACACAGUUUAUCUCAGAUUAGAAGUUAUGAUUGGUGGUUUGAAAGCAAAAAAAAAGUCAAUUUUAUAGUUAAAUACAUUAAAAUUUUUUAAGGAAGGAAGGAACGGGAAAUCUUUUUAUUAAAAAAGUCAAAUGCACAGACUAAAAAGACCUAAUAAUUACUAAGUUGCCAUAUUCACUUUACAUGUGAAUGUGUGUGUGUGUGUGUGUGUGUGUGUGUGUGUGUGUGUGUGUGUGUUUUCCUCAAAGAUUUGGAGGCAGUUUCAGUUCUCCUACCCAACCACCACAGCACUGUCACACCUAAAAAACCAACCAUCCUGAGACACAGUCCUUGCACAUGAGGCUUGGGUGAAAGACAGCCCACCUUUCUCUGCACUUCUUAUCUGGGAGCACAGGCCAGCUGGCCAGGGUGCAAGGCCAAGUGUGGGAGGAGGUAAUGGGAGGGCUUUCUGAUCCCCGAGGCCAGGCAAAGGCGUGGAGCUGCUGGGCUUCAGCACUGGGUUUAAAACCAUUUAUGGGAGCACCCUGGUUCCCGGAUUCUGAGCACCAGUGUUGAACUGCCUGUGCGUGAGCAAGUCCCAGGCCGACGUGCCCCUCAGCAGUGUGGAAAUGGCAUGAAAAACCGAAUCGAGCAGGUCUUUGCGAGACAAAAGAAACUGUAGCCACGAGUCAAGCAUGAGGGGGAAACAAAAGAUUCAUUGCUAACAAUUUCUGCUGUGAAGGAACCCAGGCCUUCCCAGGGGGCAAUGUGGGUGGGGACAGCUGGACUGAGACAGGAAGUGGGGCUCAGGCAGGGAAUUCCUGGCUGGAUCCAGUGUGCUGCAGGAGCGCCUGGCAGUCCCCACCUCUGCUGACUGUGGGCGCUUCCUGGCCAGGAAGGCUUCUGCAUAAUCUCUCUGCCAUCCCUGCAGUCCUGCCUCCUUUCCUCCACCCCCUAGCUCCGUCUCCCCCGACAGACUGUUUUUAUCUGCCCUUCAUCGCAGUCAUCCCUAUGAAGCAGAGGCGGUAUCUGCUUGCAGGGCAGCUCUCGG